RNAcentral lists this ribosomal RNA (440 nucleotides) under uncultured bacterium. RNAcentral describes it as "partial 16S ribosomal RNA". It matches the Rfam family "Bacterial small subunit ribosomal RNA", at positions 338 to 795 of the family's 1533-position model. The record is from RNAcentral.
CCUACGGGAGGCAGCAGUGGGGAAUAUUGCACAAUGGGGGAAACCCUGAUGCAGCGACGCCGCGUGAGUGAAGAAGUAAUUCGUUAUGUAAAGCUCUAUCAGCAGGGAAGAAAAUGACGGUACAUGAGUAAGAAGCCCCGGCUAACUACGUGCCAGCAGCCGCGGUAAUACGUAGGGGGCAAGCGUUAUCCGGAUUUACUGGGAGUAAAGGGAGCGUAGACGGUGGGGUAAGUCUGGAGUGAAAGGCGGGGGCUCAACCGCAGAACUGCCCUGGAAAUUGGACGGCUUGAGUGCAGGAGAGGUAAGUGGAAUUCCUAGUGUAGCGGUGAAAUGCGUAGAGAUAAGGAAGAACACCAGUGGCGAAGGCGGCUUACUGGACUGUAACUGACGUUGAGGCUCGAAAGCGUGGGGAGCAAACAGGAUUAGAUACCCGUGUAGUC